Molecule: ribosomal RNA, 266 nt
Filed under: uncultured bacterium
Lineage: Bacteria
Description: partial 16S ribosomal RNA
Rfam family: Bacterial small subunit ribosomal RNA
Source: RNAcentral
GAUGGCGACCGGCGCACGGUGAGUAACACGUAUCCAACCUGCCGAUGACUCGGGGAUAGCCUUUCGAAAGAAAGAUUAAUACCCGAUGGCAUAGUUCUUCCGCAUGGUAGAACUAUUAAAGAAUUUCGGUCAUCGAUGGGGAUGCGUUCCAUUAGGUUGUUGGCGGGGUAACGGCCCACCAAGCCUUCGAUGGAUAGGGGUUCUGAGAGGAAGGUCCCCCACAUUGGAACUGAGACACGGUCCAAACUCCUACGGGAGGCAGCAUG